RNAcentral lists this ribosomal RNA (477 nucleotides) under uncultured bacterium. RNAcentral's name for it is "bacterial SSU rRNA". It matches the Rfam family "Bacterial small subunit ribosomal RNA", at positions 28 to 517 of the family's 1533-position model. The record is from RNAcentral.
GACGAACGCUGGCGGCGUGCCUAACACAUGCAAGUCACGGGGAGUAGCAAUACCAACCGGCGAACGGGUGCGGAACACGUGAGCAAUCUGCCGAUUACUGGGGGAUAGCCGGGCCAACGCCCGGGUAAUACCGCAUACGCUCAUGAGGGGACAUCCCCUUAUGAGGAAACCUCCGGGGGUAAUCGAGGAGCUCGCGUCUUAUCAGCCAGUUGGCGGGGUAACGGCCCACCAAGGCUACGACGGGAGCUGGUCUGAGAGGAUGGCCAGCCACAUUGGGACUGCGACACGGCCCAGACUCCUACGGGAGGCAGCAGUGGGGAGUAUUGCGCAAUGGACGAAAGUCUGACGCAGCGACGCCGCGUGUGGGAUGAAGCUCUUCGGGGUGUAAACCACUGUUGCCCGGGACGAACUUUCUGGCUUUAGCCAGAUUGACGGUACCGGGUGAGGAAGCACCGGCUAACUCUGUGCCAGCCGCCG